AAAAGAGAGGAACUUCAAGCUGCCAAAAUUGAUCGGCGUCUACAAUUUUUUUUUUUUUUACAUUUUCUUCAGCGUCUAUGAAGAGAAGAGGGUGAUGUGUUGUGUUUGGCAGCCUGGGGGCGCUGUAAACAUCCUUGACUGGAAGCUGGGUGUAGGGUUUGUGAAGGCUUUCAGUCGGAUGUUUGCAGCGCUCUGCUUCCCCUAUCUCUGCACAAUCAGACAUCACAUUUAUUCAUUUCUUCGAUGUUUAUUUUAUGAAUGUGGCCAUAGCAUCAUGUGCCUGACUCCAAAAACGACUGUGUGUGGUUAUGUGCCACACUACUGGCAGUAGAACAAUGACUGGCACGUUGAAAUAACUCACUACAGGGGUGUGACGAGACAGUUGGCUCACGAGACACGAGAAAGAGACGAGAUUUUCACCGAGUAUUUUUAAGAAAUCCUCAGUGACUAGAAAAAUAGUCAAUGCAGGUGCAUUUGAAAUGUUUUAACUAAUCUUGUAAUAAAUGUCAUUUCAGUUCUA
Molecule: long non-coding RNA, 520 nt
Organism: Ctenopharyngodon idella (grass carp)
Lineage: Eukaryota; Metazoa; Chordata; Actinopteri; Cypriniformes; Xenocyprididae
Exons: 2
Source: RefSeq, a predicted model, not a curated record